RNAcentral lists this long non-coding RNA (540 nucleotides) under Vulpes vulpes (red fox). RNAcentral describes it as "lncRNA (ENSVVUG00000015535.1)". Lineage: Eukaryota; Metazoa; Chordata; Mammalia; Carnivora; Canidae. The record is from RNAcentral.
CCUCAAUAGACCGUGUUACAUGACCCUUGUGCUGUAGGUGUGUGAUGGGGGUUCUCUUGCUGCUGAGAAAGAAGACCUUGAUUUUAAAGACCUCUUACAGGACCUGAGAAGAUACAUACACACCAAAACACAAGGCAAAGAGGCCAGCGGUGCCUGGUGCCACAGUGGGCCUUUCUAUUCGUUCAAAUGUGACACCAGAGGAAGGCUGGGACAUCUAUCCGCUCUGCAAUGUUGACAUGCUUCACGUGUGGACUUCAUCCCCUGAUAUAUGCCUGUCAAUUUCCUACCAACUAAUGGUCAUAUAUAGAGGCUUUGUCAGAUUCAGGAGGCAUAUAAAGUCUGGCCUCACUAUUUGUGGUGUCAUCGGCUACUGAAAAAUUGUUGCCCGACUCCUGGAUGAGGAUACGGAAGCAUGCAGAGUUUAAUUUGGCCAAGUGCUCAAGACAUAGAGGAAGUCUCCAGGAAACUAUGCCACUGAGCUCUACACUACAGACCAGUAUUGAAAACUCGUUAUGAAUUCUGAGUGUAAUUCAAAUAUAU